UGGGGAGUCGCCAAGUGGUAAGGCACGUGACUUUGGAUCACGCAUUCGCAGGUUCGAAUCCUGCCUCCCCAG
Molecule: transfer RNA, 72 nt
Filed under: Anaerolineae bacterium
Lineage: Bacteria; Bacillati; Chloroflexota; Anaerolineae
Description: tRNA-Gln
Rfam family: tRNA
About the family: Transfer RNA (tRNA) molecules are approximately 80 nucleotides in length. Their secondary structure includes four short double-helical elements and three loops (D, anti-codon, and T loops).
Source: RNAcentral